This 253-nucleotide ribosomal RNA is filed under the name uncultured bacterium. RNAcentral's name for it is "partial 16S ribosomal RNA". It matches the Rfam family "Bacterial small subunit ribosomal RNA", at positions 524 to 776 of the family's 1533-position model. The record is from RNAcentral.
UACGGAGGAGGCAAGCGUUAUCCGGAAUUAUUGGGCGUAAAGCGUCCGUAGGUGGUUAUCCAAGUCAGUUGUUAAAGCGUGGAGCUUAACUCCAUAAGGGCAAUUGAAACUGGUUAGCUAGAGUGCGAUAGGGGCAAGGGGAAUUCCCAGUGUAGCGGUGAAAUGCGUAGAUAUUGGGAAGAACAUCGGUGGCGAAAGCGCCUUGCUGGGUCUGCACUGACACUGAGGGACGAAAGCUAGGGGAGCGAAAGGG